UCAAGCGAAUAAGUGCAUGUGGUGGAUGCCUUGGCGAUCACAGGCGAUGAAGGACGUAGUAGCUUGCGAAAAGCUGCGGGGAGCUGGCAAACGAGCUUUGAUCCGCAGAUGUCCGAAUGGGGAAACCCGGCCCGUAUGGGUCAUCCCUUGCUGAAUACAUAGGCAAGGGAGGCGAACGCAGUGAACUGAAACAUCUAAGUAGCUGCAGGAAAAGAAAUCAACCGAGAUUCCCAAAGUAGUGGCGAGCGAAAUGGGAACAGCCUUGUACUCUUUAGCAGUAUUGUUAGCGGAACGGAAUGGAAAGUCCGGCCAUAGUGGGUGAUAGCCCCGUACGCGAAAACAGUAUUGUGGAACUAGGUGUACGACAAGUAGGGCGGGACACGUGAAAUCCUGUCUGAAGAUGGGGGGACCAUCCUCCAAGGCUAAAUACUCGUGAUCGACCGAUAGUGAACCAGUACCGUGAGGGAAAGGCGAAAAGAACCCCGGGAGGGGAGUGAAAUAGAUCCUGAAACCGCAUGCAUACAAACAGUCGGAGCCUGGAAACGGGUGACGGCGUACCUUUUGUAUAAUGGGUCAGCGACUUACAUUCAGUGGCAAGCUUAACCGAUUAGGGAAGGCGUAGCGAAAGCGAGUCCGAAUAGGGCGUUCAGUCGCUGGGUGUAGACCCGAAACCAAGUGAUCUAUCCAUGGCCAGGUUGAAGGUGCGGUAACACGUACUGGAGGACCGAACCCACUAACGUUGAAAAGUUAGGGGAUGAGCUGUGGAUAGGGGUGAAAGGCUAAACAAACUUGGAAAUAGCUGGUUCUCUCCGAAAACUAUUUAGGUAGUGCCUCGUGUCUCACCUUCGGGGGUAGAGCACUGUCAUGGUUGGGGGGUCUAUUGCUGAUUACCCCGCCAUAGCAAACUCCGAAUACCGAAGAGUGCAAUCACGGGAGACAGACAUCGGGUGCUAACGUCCGGUGUCAAGAGGGAAACAACCCAGACCGCCAGCUAAGGUCCCUAAGAUUGGCUAAGUGGGAAACGAAGUGGGAAGGCUAAAACAGUCAGGAGGUUGGCUUAGAAGCAGCCACCCUUUAAAGAAAGCGUAAUAGCUCACUGAUCGAGUCGUCCUGCGCGGAAGAUGUAACGGGGCUAAGCCAGUCACCGAAGCUGCGGAUGCACGUAAGUGCAUGGUAGGAGAGCGUUCUGUAAGCCUGUGAAGGUGUCUUGUAAAGGAUGCUGGAGGUAUCAGAAGUGCGAAUGCUGACAUGAGUAGCGAUAAAGGGGGUGAAAGGCCCCCUCGCCGUAAGCCCAAGGUUUCCUACGCAACGUUCAUCGGCGUAGGGUGAGUCGGCCCCUAAGGUGAGGCAGAGAUGCGUAGCUGAUGGGAAGCAGGUUAAUAUUCCUGCACCGUCGUAUGAUGCGAUGGGGGGACGGAUCGCGGAAGGUUGUCCGGGUGUUGGAAGUCCCGGUCCCUACAUUGGAGAUGGCACUUAGGCAAAUCCGGGUGCGUGAUUCAAGGGUGUGGGGCGAGCGACGUUAGGUCGCGAAGCAAUUGGAAGUGGUUCCAAGAAAAGCCUCUAAGCUUCAGUCAUACGAGACCGUACCGCAAACCGACACAGGUGGGCGAGAUGAGUAUUCUAAGGCGCUUGAGAGAACUCGGGAGAAGGAACUCGGCAAAUUGGUACCGUAACUUCGGGAUAAGGUACGCCCUUGUAGUUUGACUGGCUCGCGCCAGAAGGAUGAAGGGGUUGCAAUAAAAUGGUGGCUGCGACUGUUUAAUAAAAACACAGCACUCUGCAAACACGAAAGUGGACGUAUAGGGUGUGACGCCUGCCCGGUGCCGGAAGAUUAAAUGAUGGGGUGCAAGCUCUUGAUUGAAGUCCCGGUAAACGGCGGCCGUAACUAUAACGGUCCUAAGGUAGCGAAAUUCCUUGUCGGGUAAGUUCCGACCUGCACGAAUGGCGUAACGAUGGCCACACUGUCUCCUCCCGAGACUCAGCGAAGUUGAAGUGUUUGUGAUGAUGCAAUCUCCCCGCGGCUAGACGGAAAGACCCCAUGAACCUUUACUGUAGCUUUGCAUUGGACUUUGAACCGAUCUGUGUAGGAUAGGUGGGAGGCUUUGAAACCGGGACGCUAGUUUCGGUGGAGCCGACCUUGAAAUACCACCCUGGUUUGUUUGAGGUUCUAACCUUGGCCCGUGAAUCCGGGUCGGGGACAGUGCAUGGUAGGCAGUUUGACUGGGGCGGUCUCCUCCCAAAGUGUAACGGAGGAGUUCGAAGGUACGCUUGGUACGGUCGGACAUCGUACCUAAAGUGCAAUGGCAAAAGCGUGCUUAACUGCGAGACCGACAAGUCGAGCAGGUGCGAAAGCAGGACAUAGUGAUCCGGUGGUUCUGUAUGGAAGGGCCAUCGCUCAACGGAUAAAAGGUACUCUGGGGAUAACAGGCUGAUACCGCCCAAGAGUUCAUAUCGACGGCGGUGUUUGGCACCUCGAUGUCGGCUCAUCUCAUCCUGGGGCUGUAGCCGGUCCCAAGGGUAUGGCUGUUCGCCAUUUAAAGAGGUACGUGAGCUGGGUUUAAAACGUCGUGAGACAGUUUGGUCCCUAUCUGCCGUGGGCGUUGGAAUCUUGACGGGGGCUGCUCCUAGUACGAGAGGACCGGAGUGGACGUACCGCUGGUGUACCUGUUGUCUCGCCAGAGGCAUCGCAGGGUAGCUAUGUACGGAAGAGAUAACCGCUGAAAGCAUCUAAGCGGGAAACUCGCCUGAAGAUGAGGAUUCCCUGGAGACUUGAUCUCCCUGAAGGGUCGUUCGAGACCAGGACGUUGAUAGGCUGGGUGUGGAAGCGCAGUAAUGCGUUCAGCUAACCAGUACUAAUUGCCCGUGCGGCUUGAUCC
This 2876-nucleotide ribosomal RNA is filed under the name Ralstonia solanacearum. RNAcentral's name for it is "23S ribosomal RNA". It matches the Rfam family "Bacterial large subunit ribosomal RNA". Lineage: Bacteria; Pseudomonadati; Pseudomonadota; Betaproteobacteria; Burkholderiales; Burkholderiaceae. The record is from RNAcentral.